CUGCUUCCGGUUUUACACAGAACUGAAUUUUCGCCGUUUUUUCUCCACAUAAAAGAACUGAGCACCUUCUCCAGCGGUCAGGGAUGAGCGCUCUCCUCUCACGGCUGUACCAAGCACACGCCCAAUUAGCAUCGCAUGAUUCUUUGUUCACCGUAGAGGCAUCAAGACAAAGACAGUUUUCUUCAUGAAUUCAACGUAACACAGGUGAUCCACCUCUGAGUGCAUGGAUGCCACAAUAGAGCAACACUGCCACCUAGGAUGGGCUGCACCACCCUGCAGGGAUGGAGACCACAGCACACUGCUGAGGAAGGGAAAGCAAAACUAACGAGUGGCGACAUCUACUGGAUAAACUGCAGUAUUGAUGCUAGGCGUCCUGUGCUACGUCAAUAUAAAGUGGGCCAACCAUAAAAUAAAGGUUGAAAUACGUACGGUCCGAUUAUCUAAUAAUAAUAAUGAAAGAAAUAAACGAUUUUGUUCACAGCCUUGCU
Epinephelus lanceolatus (giant grouper) is the source of this 488-nucleotide long non-coding RNA. RefSeq lists it as uncharacterized. The record is from RefSeq and is a predicted model, not a curated record. NCBI's taxonomy places the organism in Eukaryota, Metazoa, Chordata, Actinopteri, Perciformes, Serranidae.